This 207-nucleotide ribosomal RNA is filed under the name uncultured bacterium. Its description in RNAcentral is "partial 16S ribosomal RNA". It matches the Rfam family "Bacterial small subunit ribosomal RNA", at positions 568 to 774 of the family's 1533-position model. The record is from RNAcentral.
CGCGUAGGCGGCUAUACAAGUGACGGGUGAAAGCCCUCGGCUUAACCGAGGAACUGCCUGUCAGACUGUAUGGCUUGAGACCGGGAGAGGUGAGUGGAAUUCCCAGUGUAGCGGUGAAAUGCGUAGAUAUUGGGAGGAACACCAGUGGCGAAGGCGGCUCACUGGACCGGUACUGACGCUGAGGCGCGAAAGCGUGGGGAGCAAACA